ACCGAUUGAUGGCUCAGUGAGGCCUUCGGACUGACUCAGGAAGGUUGGUAACGACCAUCCAGAGCCGGAAAGUUGGUCAAACUUGGUCAUUUAGAGGAAGUAAAAGUCGUAACAAGGUUUCCGUAGGUGAACCUGCGGAAGGAUCAUUAAUAAUACAAUGAUGCUCUUCUCAUUCCGGCCUCACAGCUGGCUUGGGUCGAACCAUCCCACCUCCUGUGAAUCAAAAAAAUACAUAAGCUUCGGUAGCAGGCCGGUUGGAAACAGCCGCGUCGUCAGCCUGCCGGCAGCGCCUAAACCAAACUUUUGUUUAUAAAUCUUGUCUGAAAAAUCUUCAUUUUAGAAUGAAAAAAUAAUUAAAACUUUCAACAACGGAUCUCUUGGUUCUCGCAUCGAUGAAGAACGCAGCGAAACGCGAUAGUUAAUGUGAAUUGCAGAAUUCAGUGAAUCAUCGAGUCUUUGAACGCACAUUGCGCCCAUUGGUAUUCCGAUGGGCAUGUCUGUUUGAGCGUCAUAUCAACACUCACCUUCCGGGUGGUUUUGAGCUUGAGGCCCUUUCGUAACUGUCAGGACUCGGCUUUAAAGUGGCACGCUCUGCGGGGUCGACUGACAACCUGAACAAAACAUAGUAAAUCUUACAACUGUUUGGUGCAGAAAGUCGGGCUGGCCUUCCGCCUGAACAACAAACCAAAAUUUCAUUAGGUUUGACCUCAGAUCAGACAAGGAUACCCGCUGAACUUAAGCAUAUCAAUAAGCGGAGGAAAAGAAACCAACAGGGAUUGCCUCAGUAACGGCGAGUGAAGCGGCAACAGCUCAAAUUUGAAAUCUGAAGUUUUUGACUUCCGAGUUGUAAUUUGAAGAGGAUGCUUCGGUUGUGGCCCUGGCCUAAGUUCCUUGGAACAGGACGUCGUAGAGGGUGAGAAUCCCGUACACGGCUGAUGGCCUACUUCCAUGUGUAGCUCCUUCGAAGAGUCGAGUUGUUUGGGAAUGCAGCUCAAAAUGGGUGGUAAAUUUCAUCUAAAGCUAAAUACUGGCGAGAGACCGAUAGCGCACAAGUAGAGUGAUCGAAAGAUGAAAAGCACUUUGAAAAGAGAGUUAAACAGUACGUGAAAUUGUUGAAAGGGAAGCGUUUGCAAUCAGACUUGCUUUCGGUUGAUCAACGUUCCUUCUGGUUCGUGCACUCUGCCGUUCGCAGGCCAGCAUCAGUUGGUGCGGUGGGACAAAGGCUCCGGAAAUGUGGCUCUCUUCGGGGAGUGUUAUAGUCCGGUGCGUAAUGCCAUCUGCUGCCGAUUGAGGCCCGCGAUUUUAUCGAGGAUGCUGGCUUAAUGGUUGUAAACGACCCGUCUUGAAACACGGACCAAGGAGUCUAACAUUUAUGCGAGUGUUUGGGUGUCAAACCCAUACGCGCAAUGAAAGUGAACGGAGGUGGGAGUCUUAGGAUGCACCAUCGACCGAUCCUGAUGUCUUCGGAUGGAUUUGAGUAAGAGCAUAACUGUUGGGACCCGAAAGAUGGUGAACUAUGCCUGAMUAGGGUGAAGCCAGAGGAAACUCUGGUGGAGGCUCGCAGCGGUUCUGACGUGCAAAUCGAUCGUCAAAUUUGGGUAUAGGGGCGAAAGACUAAUCGAACCAUCUAGUAGCUGGUUCCUGC
RNAcentral lists this ribosomal RNA (1645 nucleotides) under Orbilia paravitalbae. RNAcentral's name for it is "eukaryotic LSU rRNA". Lineage: Eukaryota; Fungi; Ascomycota; Orbiliomycetes; Orbiliales; Orbiliaceae. The record is from RNAcentral.